This 1754-nucleotide long non-coding RNA is filed under the name Chrysemys picta bellii (western painted turtle). RNAcentral's name for it is "lncRNA (ENSCPBG00000004740.1)". The record is from RNAcentral. Lineage: Eukaryota; Metazoa; Chordata; Testudines; Emydidae.
UAACAUGUUGUCACAGAGCAGCAGAAAAGAAUACCCAGUAGAUGUCAAAAGCAACAAAGAGUCCUGUGGCACCUUGGAGCAUAAGCUUUCAUGGGUGAAUGCCCACUUCGUCAGACUCAGUAGAUGUCAGUAACUGUGACCGGUAGCAAAUUGUGGUGGUAACAGUUUGUAAAGUUACGCUGUCCUCCAUCUGAGCAACAACUCCCUGGAGACAACAGCUAAUGAGCCCCUUCCCCGCACACUCACUUCUCUCCACCCCAUCAAGCAGGACCCAGCAGGGGCAGAGUCAGCAAUGCCUCCUCUCUGCCCUUUAACCGUAGAAACCUGCAGAGCGAGUCCCACCCCCAGCCCAUGACACUGAGAUCCAUGCCCCCUCACUCAGGUUAAACUGUCCCAAGCCGCUGAGCCGCUCGCUGGGGAUUUGAGUGUGAAUGAUCAGCUCAGCCUGGCUGAUUCAUCCCUGCCCCUGGCGGGGCUGUGUCAGGAGUGAAUUUUCACAUCCCCCCUCCCAGCUGGGACUGCCUGCAAACUGUGUGUGUUGCAGGUCCCAUGGGCCAGAUCCUCCCCUCUGAUUCCCACCAGCUGGGAUCUGGCCGCGCGGGUUCCACUGGAGUUAUGGCCAAUUUACACCAGCUGGGGAUGUGGCUUGGGUUACGUCUACACUGAGAUAAAAAACCCCAUGGCAUUGAGUCAGAGCCUGGGUUAGAUCACUCAGGCCUGGGCUGCGGGGCUAAAAUGAACUGUGUAGACAUUUGGUUUUGGGCUGGAGCCUGAGAUCUGAGACCCUCCCCCAUGGGGCUCCAGCCCCAGCCCGAAUGUCUGCACUGCAAUUUUAUAGACCCACAACCUGAGCCCUGUGUGGCCCCGCCAGCUGAGCCAGGCCUGGCCAUGUCAGGGGUCUUUCAUUGCAGUGUGGAGGUACCUUGAAUCGUUUGUACAAACAUACACUGCGUCUCUUAGCAAGUUUGUCAGACCUGGUUUGGGGCGACUUCAUUGUCAGCCAGGGCCACGCAAAGUGGAAUAAAAACCAACCCAGAAAGGUAAACGGCCCCGCUGGCAUAAUGAGGUCUGGGGUCACUCGCACAAUAUUACGUAUAACUCUAUUAUGCUCCCUUUCUUCCCGCACCUCAGCUUCACUCUCUGGUGAAAGUCAGGCCAGAGCUCUUUUCACAAGGCAGGACACAGAGUUCAACUUCAGGGCUGUUGUAUGUAUGUAAAACCCUGUUAAGUAAGUGGUAAUAUUGCCCAGUCGGCUUGGAAGAGAGUCCCACAGAGUGCCCUGGGAAAAAUAGACAUCUCAGGCACACAGAAAUUAUUAUAAAUAGGACAACCCAUUGUAGAUAGGAUUUGGAAUACUGUGAAUAUCAUUUAAAGAAAAGCUGUUGGGCAGUAAAUCUACAGGCGCGCCGUAUAAAGACGUCCCCAUUUUGUUGCUAUUACAGAUAUUCAAAUAUAAGGUUCCCACAUGAUAUCGACCUUCCUGAUCUUGAGCACGCACAUUAAAACACUGUCCCCUCUGAUCAUCUCGCAGAGAUGGUUUCUCGGUCAUUGUAGUGUGGCCAUUGUAUGUGCUGUGUGUGUCUCAUUGAGUCAUAGACUUUAAGGUCAGAAGGGACCAUCAUGAUCAUCUAGUCUGACCUCCCACACAUUGGGUCUCUGGACUCAAGUCCCCUGGACCCUUCACAGCUUGAGAAGAACGGCAGCAUCUCAACCCUUUCAAAAUGCUUCUGAACCCCUUGACACUCUGGGGAUCU